ACUCUGAUGCCGCCGUUCCAAUUGGAAAUGUUUUCUCGAACGGAAAUCGAACAUACAUAAAUGGUUGUAAAUCGAUAUGUUAAUGCGGCGCAAAGUUCGGCGAGGUCGUUAGGUCAACGUGACGUCAACGGAUACGGAGACCCUCGAAGUGACGGACUGCGACAACAUUUGCAUGUUAAACAUUUCUCGAACGUGCAUAUGUAUAUAGUGCGAUUACGGCCAAUACAAUUCGUUUGCGGCGAUGUCCUUUCCAUUUAUUCCAGAAUUCUGCUACACAGAAACGAAAAUCUUGCGACUUCUGUAUGCUAGAAUGGAUCGGUACGAUGGAGGGAGCACGGGACGAGUAAUUUGUAUUUUCUGGAAUUUUCCCACGUAGACUUAAAUGUGAAAACCUUCAACCUAUUCAAUGAGGUUUUCUAAUCUGUAUUAUCAGGGCGUGGGAUAAAUUAAUAAAAGGAUGAACAAAAUAAUCCAUGCAACUAUGUUAAUCGUGUAGUUUCAUAACACUAUAGUAUUAGGUUGAAGUUAAGGCAUACGGACAUGUGAUCAAAAUUGAAGACAGAAAAGGAAAAGGUGAAGCAGAAUAAAUCAGUCUCAACGAUUGCACAGCCUGUCGCUUCUUCCAAUGACCCGUGAUCCACUCUCUGAUCCUUCCCAGUGUUGGCUCCAGAAUGGAGGAAAAAAAAAGGGAAACGAUAACCCCAGAUACCGUAGCGCACAUAUACAUGUGCUUGGUAUCGUUCUCGUAAUAAUCGGACGAUCGUGUUGCUAACCGAAGUAGGUACAUAUAUGUAUGUACUUGCUCGGGUUAUCUGGCUAUGUUUGUCCUUCGUUAUAAUUUUGUUACGUUUUUUCGCGCUUGUUCAGUAUUGCAAAAAAAAAAAAGAAAAGAAAAGAAUGGAAAUAAGAAAAAAGGAAGAAUCGUCACGAUCGUUCGCAAUUAUCAUCGUUGCUUUGUACGCACGUUCGUCAUUUUGAGGGAAUUGUCGUCGUGUUUUUCAAUAUCGGCAUUUAUGAAUAUCAGAAACAAUUGCGAUAUGCACGAUGUGGUCAACAAAAUGAACGAAUGAAAAUUACUGACGUCGCUAAUUGUUCAAUAGAUUACAACGUUGUAGUAUCGAACGACUGUCUCAUGAGCAGUUGACAAGUUUUUUACAUUUUCAAAUAAUUUGUCCAGCCAACUCUCAGCAAUCGUCACUAAACUGCUGAAUGAUAUUUUCACAGUGAGAGAAACAGAGGGCAUGAGAAACCCUUCUGGCAGCAGUGUAUAGUUAUUAACAAUCAAAAUGACAAACUUCGAUGAAAGGUGCAAAAAUGGUUUUUUUUGCCAUACUGGCUCAAAUUAAUGUGUUCCUACAAUUUCAGGUGACAUGACUUUUGUCAUACUGGCUCAAAUUAAUGUGUUCCUACAAUGUCAGGUGACAUGACGAUUUAAGUAUAUAUAUGCUGCAGUUAGAAGUUUUCAUCAUUCGUGAGAAAGACGACAUGGCAUGUUAAACGUGUUAAUUUGAGCAUCAUAAUUUGGACAUUGGAAAUAUCACUUUGAACCAACCAAAACAUAUUGACUGGGCAAGCACAUUGGGCAAUCUUUUAUCAAGCGACACGUUACGUUGCUUAAAUCAAUUCUGUUGUGAAAUAUGCAACCGUAACGAUUGGCUAUUCUAAUUGCCGUUAAUGAACCAUCAGAUAGUUAAAACAUGCUACCUUUGAAGCUAUAUAUAUGGCUGGUUGAAUCUUGGACCGAGGAGGCUCUGGAAAAACUUCAAUUUUCUGGCAAUGAUCUCGUGUCUUUCUUGGGAACCAUCGUACAGGGUAACGAGGGCGUACGCAGUGUUUGACAAACAUAGGAGCGGCAUAUCGGGUCGAUGACAAAAAGAAUAAAAGGAGAAAAAAAAAAGGGAAGGAGCUGGGAUAUAGGGAGGAAGAGACUAUACUCUGACUCUCGACCUUUUCCUACCUAGCCUUUCGUGUAUUUCACUCGCUUUAUACCUAGGCGUGGCCUCUGUGUUCCCUUUGCCUCGGCGAACUAUCGCGCUUCCGGUAUAAUCGUACGGCAGAAUAACGCCCCGGGCGAAAUUAACAUCGGAUCAAACGACGGAUCGAUCCGUCCUCUUUCUCAAUUCGAAAUCCAUUUAGAAUCCAUUUAGAAUGUAACAGUCUUUUGUAAAGUCCAAAUACAGUUUCAAAUACCGAUGUAAAUAGUUUUGAAAAUAUUCGACUUUCUCCUGAUCACUAAUCGGAUGAUUCUUUUCCAGGCUGGACGAGCGUUUAACGAUAAUAAUCGCAAACGAGCAUUUCGAGGAAACGCAACAAACGACAGAUAACGAGAGGACUGUUCUGAAAACCACGCCGAUUCAUCGAGACAAGAGGCGUCGUUCUAUCGGAUAAGGAGAUCGAAGGAAAAAGGAACGAGGAAUUGUCAUCGAUGGAGCUGUCUGUUUGCUUCUGCAUUGCUCUUCGUGGUUCCUGAUUUCGCGGUCGAUCGGCCAAAAGAGCCACGACGACAAUGGUGGCCGAUGUCGUUUCUAAAUACGUCUCUGGAUGUAAGCGCACCUCGCGAGAGACCUCCUCUAAACUAAAUGCGACUUUUAACGAGCAACACGAGGAACGGAGGAGCGACAGGGAAACGACCUGCGCGCGGAUUCGGGCGCGGUCAAUGCCGUCUAGAUGCUCGCUAUUACUAUCCGAACCGCCUGGUAUUUUCGUCAUGGCCUACUAAUACACUCCGCAAAUUCUCGCCCUACCACCGGGCCACUGUUCGACGAUGACGUGGCCGAGGAAAUAUGCCGAUCGGGUGUCGUGUCGCUGACCGUGAUGUCCAAUUUCCUCGUUUUUCUUCCUUUUUCGUUUUGCUCUUUGAAAAUGAGCCAACAACGAGCCUGUUCUAUGCAAGAGAUUCGUAAAGAUAGUUAAAAAGAUAAAAAAAUUCUUCUUGAUUUGAAUUUGACCAUCAAACCGAAACCUUCUGCAUGGUUUGAAGAAAUUCACAAAGUGAAGUUCCACGAGAGUUGAAUAAAUUUCUCACAAGGAAAGAUGCCCAUGUAAUUACUGCUUCUGUAAAGGUAUUCUUCUUUUGAAAUGUUUGCUCUUCCAUUCGGGGGCAGCCUCGAAUUUUCUAGCCUGGCGUAACGAGAAAAAUCGGUAUAUUAAUGCGUUUUAGCGGUAAGCAUAGUGGUCGUGGCUAAAUAUUCGAGGAGUUCAGCCUUCUGUGUAUUCAUGGCCAUCGUCGUCGUCGCGGGGAAGGAAGAAAGAACAGAUGCAUUUGCAUCUGAAAGAUGCACGAUUUGUAGGACACGGAGUUUUUCGAUUCAGUAUGUUUACUUGACAAUAUGCAUGUAUAUAUAUGUACUGAGAAUUAUAGCGAUAUAAGCCACUCUUGUAACUUAUAUUGUAAAAUUAUGUUUAUUACUAUCGCUUUCUUAAAUUUCCGAUAAUAAACGAGGUUGUAACGACAGUUGGCUAUAAAACUGAACAUGUAGAACUACGAUUCUCGUAUAUUGACCAUUUUUAGAAAUAUUCUACUUAACGUAUUUCGUUACCUAAUUCACAAUUUGUUCAUAAUUGGAAGCUACUCUUUCUUCAAUCACAGAAUGUCAAGCUUCGUAUUAUCUUCUUAUUUUGUGAAAAGACGUACCAUUUAUAAUCGGUAGAUAAACGUUUCGAAGUUAAUUACAACGAAAAACUCUUCAUCCGUCCCGAUAUCACAUCAUUGAUACCAAUAAACGGGUAAAGUCGAUGAUGCAAUGUCAACCAUGUAUACUCGUUUCCCCUUGCGCAUCGAACGUUUUAUCUGUUCAGCUCAUUAUAGAUAAAGACGUAGACGCCAGUCCUGUCCUAUUUCGUAAGUCUCGGUCAUCGUGCAACGGCCAUUUGGCGAUAAAAUUUUUUUGAAUUUGGGACACGAGAAAACACAGGGUCGCUAAGGUCGUUCCACGUCGAUAAGAUAUUACCGACGUAGAACGUAAGUGCACUGGUUACGUAAACGUAGGGUACAGGGGGUGAUAUCUCAUCCAACGACCCAAGUUACACUACACGACGAGAGGAGACGACGUUGUAAAUCAUCGUUACGACGACGGAUCGAACGAGCCAUUUGUCGUGUUUAGCAAUCGAGGAUGCAAAGGAAGGAUUUCCUUUCAAUAUACAUAUACUGUUAAUAACUGAUUUAUUUCUGAUUGCUUUCCGAAUACCAAAUACGAACCGGUGUUCAAAAAUAAGCAAAAAUAAGAUAUACGCAGGUAGCCUGUAUUGUAAUGCGACGCGUUAUCAGCCUUGAACUCGGUGACGAAGCACUCUGUGCCAGCGCGUUGUAAAGUACAAGUGUAUUUGCAACUGGUACGUUACUUUCGAUGACUGGCGAGUUGACAUGAAUUUCACUAGCUACUUAGGACGUUAGUCACAUUUCAUAGAAUCAUCGGGUAAUAUUGUAAAUUCAUAAGAUCAUAAAGUAACUUCGCAUUUUGUAUUCUGUGCUUGGCGGAAUUGUAAUUUAUUCGAGCACAUCGGAGACCGUUACAAUUCGAAUCACGUCGUUCUGAGAAUGAUUCGAGAUUAUUAGUUUCGAUGAUAAGAACUGAGAUUUAGGAAAUUGAAAUCGAUGGGGUUCGUUUGUGUUACCAGUGGCACGAGUCUCUUGAAUCUUAGAUUCUGAAACUCAACCUAUUUGAUAUGUUGCAUAUACUUGUACAUAUGUAUAAAAUGGAAAUUUCAAUUGUAGCUACGUUAGUCAUCAUUUCA
Molecule: long non-coding RNA, 4734 nt
Organism: Frieseomelitta varia
Lineage: Eukaryota; Metazoa; Arthropoda; Insecta; Hymenoptera; Apidae
Exons: 4
Source: RefSeq, a predicted model, not a curated record